CCUACGGGAGGCAGCAGUGGGGAAUAUUGCACAAUGGGGGAAACCCUGAUGCAGCGACGCCGCGUGAGGGAAGAAGGAUUUCGGUAUGUAAACUUCUGUCAGCAGGGAAGAAAAUGACGGUACCUGACUAAGAAGCCCCGGCUAACUACGUGCCAGCAGCCGCGGUAAUACGUAGGGGGCAAGCGUUAUCCGGAAUUACUGGGUGUAAAGGGAGCGUAGACGGUUAAGUAAGUCAGGAGUGAAAGGCCGGGGCCCAACCCCGGGACUGCUCUUGAAACUAUUGAACUUGAGUGCAGGAGAGGUAAGCGGAAUUCCUGGUGUAGCGGUGAAAUGCGUAGAUAUUAGGAGGAACAUCAGUGGCGAAGGCGGCUUACUGGACUGUAACUGACGUUGAGGCUCGAAAGCGUGGGGAGCAAACAGGAUUAGAUACCCCGGUAGUC
RNAcentral lists this ribosomal RNA (440 nucleotides) under uncultured bacterium. RNAcentral describes it as "partial 16S ribosomal RNA". It matches the Rfam family "Bacterial small subunit ribosomal RNA", at positions 338 to 795 of the family's 1533-position model. The record is from RNAcentral.